UGUCAUAUUUUACCCCCACAAACGCAUAACUCGAUAGUUUUUUGCCUAAUUUUACCAGACCGGGGCAAAGCCUAUUCUAUUACAAACCGACUUAACAUAUAUAUAUAUAUGGACCUCACUGUUUCUUAGCUCUCCUUCCCCACAAGCUUCAACCAAAGGUUGCUGCUGAAAUCUUGUUUGGUGAAAUUGGGUGGUGUUUAAAUUUUGCAAACAUAUGAUUGUGUGAAUUUAGGGUUUCGAAUUGAUUUGUGUGUUGGGUUUUAAGGUUGGUGUUAUAAUUUGUUGAAUUGGGUUAUUUUUUUCUAAGGUGUUAAGGUUUUAAGGUUGUCUGAAAAUUGAUAAAGAUGGAAUGUAAGAAUGGGUUGUGUGAUGGGUCUGUGGAGGAAUCUGGGUUAGGGUUUAAUGAUAGUAUGCAUAUCGGGGUUGAGAAGAUGGGGGAUGAGGGGGGUAAGGUAGGGGGUAAGAAAAGGGUGAUGGAAACUAGGGUUGGGGUUGAUUCGAAUGAUGAGGAGCCGAUUGGGGCUAUGAUGGCGAAGAAGAAAAAUAAAUGUAACCCUAAGAAGGUAAACGAGGGUUUUGUUGGUGAGGGGAUUGAGGAGAAAGAAAGUGGGGUAGAGGAUUUAGGGGGUAUGGGGGAUACAUUGGCUAUUUAUAAGAAGAAGUUAAAGCGGUCUAGGAAGAGCAGUGUAUCUGUUGGAAUAGGAGAUAAGGAUUUAGAUAUAAUUGGGCAUGAGGGGUGUGGUCAGGAAUCUAGUGCUGAGAAAGUUAAAGAAGAGGGAGUGGUUGUAGAGGAAGGUAAGACGGUCGUUGUUGAAGGAACUUGUGGGACUGUAGGUGGCUUGAAUGAGUGCUUAGAUUUCAAUGUAGAAGAUUCGUUGUCUGCCUUUUUCCUCAAGGCACAAUCUGUUUCAGUGAGGAAAUCUCGCACUUCUAUGAAGUCAAAGCAGUUAGGAAAAAUUUAUUCUCUUAGUGAUGGUUUGAGUGCUGGCUCUGGCCGUGUUUUAGAGGAUCAAAUGCCUGAAACAUCGAUAUCACAGUCCCCAUUGGAACAUAUGACCGAAAUUGUGGGAUUUAAUAGCAGUUCAAAUUUAGAGUCUGAAAAUACGAUGGAUUUAAAGCGUCAUAGGAAUAAUAUUAGAAAAGCGCAGCACACUGGCGGUACUAUUUCUCCAGAGUCAAACCCAGAGUUAUCUUCUAGGCCUCUGAUUUCUGAUAGUGUUUUGAGAUCUUCUGAUGAUAGACGCAGUGGAAACCAAGUGAAGCUUGAGGAUUCAGUUACCAUAUCCUUUUCUCAACAAUCUGACCUGUAUUUAAGGUCAUGUCCUAAUAUAGUCUCAACGCUCCCAAAUGGUGAAUUAGUGAAGCCGAUAUGUGAUAUUCACGAAAGAACCAAGCUAGAAACACUGCAGUUAAACCAACUUAUAGCCAAAAAUGCCAAAGGUUCCCAUUGUCCUGAAGUGAAAGAAAACCUUUGUCUUUCCAGUCGGGGGCCUACCUUUGGGAAUGGAAUUCUUGAGGAUGACGUGAAAAUUUCUCCUGUCAAGAAAGCAUGUGAUCUGGGGAAUGUUGUAGUUGAAAUUCCUAUGUCUGUAUCUGCCCCAGAACAGGUGCAUACUAUCAAUCUCUUUGCUGUCGAAACGUCAACCAGAGGCUUCACUGAUAGUCUGGGUGUUAAAGAGUUUAAGGCUGUUGUGAACAGUGAAGCUUAUAAUAUGGAUGAGAAUGUAUUUUCAAAGCCUGAACAUGAUCUUAAGGGGUCUUAUUCUGGUAAUGCUUCGUUGCACAAUUCAUAUGAAGAUUCAUGCAAUGAGACCACAAAACUGAUUUCUGGAAAACAUUUGGGGUCAUUUGAAUGUCUAUCUGAGAAAAAAUUGACAUCUCAUGAGACAAAUUUGUUAAUGUCUAAGCAUGACGAGGCAAAGGAGGAGAAAGCUUUAUCACCUUCAUCACUAGGAGUCGAGAAACAGGAAAUUGAUUUCCAAGAAAAUCCGUCUUGGAACUGCAAGCAAAAUGGUGACAAAUCUGAUGGCCUAACCGAGCAUGCACUUAUUAACAAGUCUGACACCUCAGUUCCAAGGUGCACUUCCAGUUUCCAUCUAACCCAUUCAUCUGAUAAUGCAUUCAAGGAACCAUCUGCAUUAAGUUGUGAUUUUUCUGGUGAUGAAGUAGCCGAUGGGUCCUCUUCUCCAUCCACUGCUCCUGAUUGUAAUAAAAAUCAUACUGACGAUACUGGGUUGGUGCCCUCGCCUAAAGAUAAAGACAAUAAACUUUCAGCGCAGCGUGCAAUGCGUAACACCAGAAAGCGUAGGCAAUUGGACAUGGCUUAUGAAGGAGAUGCUGAUUGGAAUUUUCUGGUACAUGACGGAAAUUUUAAUGCUGAUAAUCAGGAUGAUGAUAAUAGCUUGGUUAGAAGAAAGGAGAAAUCAAAACCGUCAACCAUGUUCCUUGAGGCCAAAAAUGGUUGCAAUGCAGCAGUAUCUUAUGGCCUCAAAGCUCGUGCAGCCAGUCCAAUUGAGAAGAUUAGGUUUAAGGAGGUAUUGAAGCGCAAAGGGGGCCUUAAUAUGUAUCUAGAAUGCAGGAAUCAUAUAUUAGGUCUUUGGAACAAAGAUGUUAGUUCCAUUUUGCCUCUCUCAAGCUGUGGCAUCUCUGCUACUCCAAUGGUUGAUGAAUCACCGGAUGCUUCUCUCAUUAGGGAAAUCUAUGAGUUUCUUGAUCAUUUUGGUUACAUUAAUAUUGGAAUUGCUUCUAAGAAAAGGGUUUCAGAAUCUUCUUUAGUAUAUAAUCUACAUGCUUCAACCAAGAAAACAUUAGGGGAAACACCUGGGGCCGCUUUGGCUGAUUCAGAUGAAGGAGUUUCGUUUAUUGUUGGCAAGUCCAGGAAUCCUGAUUCUUCAUUGGAGGAAAAGAAUUUGGCUCUACAUGAUUGCGAAAAUGUUGUAGCAAUGGACAAACAAGACAGGCCAGUUCUUGAUUCACAUGUUUUGGAGUCAUUUAUACUGACAAAACCUGAAAAAAGUGACAGUAAUCAGGGACAGGGACUACUAGAUGGUAUGGAAUCAGUAACACUCGGAAGUUUGGAUAAUUUGAAUUUUGUAUCUCCUUGUAAAGUAGCAGAUGCUGGAACAGCCCCUGUUAUACCUUCAGAGCCCAUGAGAAAGAUUAAUCGCACCCUAUAUGACACAGUUGAUAAUGUAGGGGAGAAUCCAUGCGGGGAACAUCAUUCGGAAGUUGCAAAGCAAAUUAUCAUAAUUGGAGCUGGGCCUGCUGGAUUAGCUGCUGCUCGCCAUUUGCAGAGACAGGGUUUCCAAGUUACUGUUUUAGAGGCUAGAGGUAGAAUAGGAGGUCGUGUCUUUACUGAUCGAACAUCUCUUUCGGUACCAGUGGAUCUUGGGGCUAGCAUUAUUACAGGUGUUGAAGCAGACGUGGCUGCUGAACGAAGACCAGAUCCUUCUUCCAUAAUUUGCUCUCAGAUGGGUCUCGAGUUAACUGUACUGAAAAGUGACUGCCCUCUUUAUGAUACUGUCACAGGUCACAAAGUUCCUGCAGAUUUAGAUGAAGAUCUGGAGUCUGAAUUCAACAAUCUACUUGAUGACAUGGAACUUCUGGUUGCUCAAAAGGGGACGCAUGCUAUGAAAAUGUCCCUUGAAGAUGGUUUAGAAUUUGCCCUUGAGAGGCGUCGCUUGACCAAGUAUAAAAGAAAUGGUGGAAGAAGUAUUCUUCAUAAAUUAGCAGAUGUUAUCGAUGAAGAGGUUCUUAGGAACAGCAAUUCUGAAGGAGAAGUAUUAAGUCCUCUUGAAAGGAGGGUCAUGGAUUGGCAUUUUGCUCACUUGGAGUACGGUUGUGCUGCUUCACUCAAGGAUGUAUCACUUCCUUGCUGGAAUCAGGAUGACGUAUAUGGAGGAUUUGGAGGAGCUCAUUGUAUGAUCAAAGGGGGAUACAGCACUGUAGUCGAGGCGUUGGGAGAAGGUCUUUGCAUACAUUUGAAUCACGUGGUCACAAGUGUUACCUACCGCACAGGUGAUGCCAUGAUAGAUGAAGAUCAGCAUCACAACGUUAAAGUUUCCACUUCAAAUGGUAGAGACUUUUUUGGUGAUGCAGUUCUGAUCACUGUUCCACUUGGGUGCCUAAAAAAGGAAUCGAUAAAGUUUGCACCGCCAUUGCCACAUUGGAAAAACUUGUCCAUACAAAGGCUUGGUUUUGGUGUGCUUAAUAAAGUGGUUUUGGAAUUCCCUGAAGUAUUUUGGGAUGAUUCUGUUGAUUAUUUUGGAGCAACUGCUGAGGAAACAGACAAGAGGGGUCACUGCUUUAUGUUUUGGAAUGUCAGGAAAACCGUUGGGGCACCUAUUCUUAUAGCUUUAGUCGUUGGUAGGGCAGCUUUAGAUGUGCAAGACAAGAGCUCGUCCGAACAUGUAAACCAUGCGUUAGCGGUUCUCAGAAAACUCUUUGGGGUAGCUGUUGUGCCUGAUCCAGUUGCGUCAGUUGUGACUGAUUGGGGAAGGGAUCCAUACAGUUAUGGUGCUUACUCUUAUGUUGCUAUUGGUGCAUCUGGUGAAGAUUAUGACAUACUGGGUAGCCCUGUUGAGAAUUGUGUGUUUUUUGCUGGUGAAGCUACAUGCAAGGAGCACCCUGACACGGUUGGUGGUGCAAUGAUGAGUGGAAUUCGGGAGGCUGUUCGCAUUAUGAAUAUGUUGACUACAGGAAUUGAUUAUAUGACAGAGGUGAAUUCAAUGGAGGCUGAACAGAGAUGCAUGGACAGUGAACGAAGUGAAGUUAAUGACAUAAUUAAAAGACUUGAAGCAGUUCAGAUGUCAAAUGCUCUAUAUGAAAAAUCUUUGGAUGGAAGCCAUGUUAUAACAAGGAAAGAUUUACUGCAAGACAUGUUCUCUAAAGCAAAAACCACAUCUGGUAGAUUGCAUCUGAUCAAAGAGCUGUUGCAUUUUCCUGUUAGGGUGCUGAAAUCUUUUGCUGGAACCAAAGACGGGCUCAGCAUUCUCAACAAAUGGAUUCUGGAUUCUCUGGGAAAGGAUGCGACUCAACUACUGCGGCAUUGUGUUCGUCUUCUUACUCUUGUUUCCACUGAUCUGCUAGCAGUUCGUGUGUCUGGAAUUGGGAAAACUGUUAAAGAAAAAGUAUGUCUGCAUACCAGCCGUGAUAUACGCGCUGUAGCAAGCCAAUUGGUUAAUGUGUGGAUCGAAGUAUUUCGCAAACAGAAGGCCUCCAAUGGUGGGCUGAAGUUGAUGAGGCAAUCGAAUGCCGUGGAGUCCUCAAAAAGCAAGUAUAGUCUUGGUUCAGGGAAACCCCCUGCCCCACAUGGCGCACAACCUUCACACAAUAAAAAGGGAAUCAACCCUACCAAGAUGUUGGAUGAAAUACAAUAUGUCCCAUCAGAGGAAGAAAAAGCUAUCUUAGCUGCUGAAGAAGCAGCUCGUGCAGCGGCAAUUGCAGCUGCCAAGGCCUAUGCUCUGUCAGGUACCAGGGGCAGUACUUCUCUGCAGCUUCCUAAGAUACCUUCGUUUAACAAAUAUGCUAGACGCGAGCAUUAUCCGCAAUUGGAGGAGGCCGAUAACCAUACAUUGGAAAUAGAUUCUAGGAACUGCAAGGUUAGGGAAUGGACUGCUGAUUUCUCAUCUUCUCAUGUGAACCUUGGAAAUUCGAAAAGGUCGGUGGAAAAUCUCCCACAGCGCAGCUCCUUACAUGAGGUUGCUUGUCAGGUGAACUUCAGUGAGCACUCUGCUGAUAGUGCGGCUGUUGACAGCAGUAUAUUCACCAAAGCAUGGGUUGACAGUGCUGGCAGCGAAGGUAUUAAGGAUGGAAGUGCCAUUGAGAGAUGGCAGUCACAAGCCGCCGCCGCUGAUUCUGAGUUCUAUAGUCGGACCAUGCGGAUGAUGGAUGCGGAAGAGACUAAAAUUAACUCGAGGCCGUCUAUAAUGAAGCAUGAAGUUCAUGCAAGUGAGAGCUCUACUUUCCAAGUUACUACAGGGAAGGAGAUGGUUGAAAAUCGAUCUAAAGGACCAGAGAAGAUCAAGCAAGCUGUUGUGGAUUAUGUUGCAUCUUUGCUCAUGCCUCUUUAUAAAGCAAAGAAAUUUGACAAGGAUGGUUACAAGUCAAUAAUGAAGAAAGCAACAACAAAGGUCAUGGACCAGGCCACAGAUGCAGAGAAAUCAAUGAAUGUUUUUGACUUCCUUAAUUCUAAGCGCAAACACAAGAUCCGAGCAUUUGUAGACAUGUUGAUUGAGAGACACAUGGCGAGUAAAUCAGGUGUUAGAUAGUCGUUUCUUCAUCUCACUGCUAUCUUUUGGAAGGUGGAGGAAGCCUGAUCUUGCUAGUGGGUGCUCUUGAUAUAUUGAUGUUGCAUAAUAGCAGACAGUGUCGUUAAUAGAAAUUCUACAGUUUAUGACUAAGAUGUUGCAGAAAUGGAUGAAGGUGGCUUUUGUAAGAAUCUGUCAAUGUGAUCAUGAUUGGUGGACUUGUUACAGACUCCCGACUUUUUGUGCCUUUGCAUGAGACUGUCAAAGGGAAGGAUAAUGAAAUGACUGUAAUUUAAGUAGACGUGCUUUGUUAGUCAAGCAGGACUUGUGUCUUUGCAGAUAAAAAUUGGGAUGUCCUCUUUCAUACUUUCCUUAUGGAUUUCGCCUGGUGUGGAACUGUCAGAUUCAUGGAUCAUGACGUGUUAUGUUUUCAAAAGCUGUGCAUGGAGAUUAUGCGUCCAAUGAGAAAUUCACAAUUGGUUUGAAAGUUUAUUGGGCUAUCUUGAAUCAGGAUUCCCUUGCGGACGCGAGGAGAGCUUCAAUUUCAUUUUUAAAUGGAUGCUUCGAGGUGAAGUAUUUGGCUAAGGAUCUAUUUCAGAAACUAUUCCACACCAAUGUCAUGUCCGGUGGACAUGAAAACCAUCCCCAUUUCAUGUGCUGGUGGACACAGGCAUGAGGACAAAAGAUGUGGUGUGCCUGCACAAGAUAGCCCUCAGAAGCAAACUUGAAGAACACUGAUCCAUUACAGUGUCUGUGGAUUCUUUCCGCUUAUACUACUUUUGAGGUCAUAUUCCUUGUAGCUGAGCUGCAUAUGGUAUUUGAAUGAGCAGAAUAACGUGCUGCAAGGUUUACCUGAUAAUAUCAACUUGAUAACCCUGCAGACCGUACGGUGUGCCAUUGUCCAUCCACACCCAGGUGGCGGUAUCAAGCAUGGGUACCCGUUUCAAUUAAUACAUUUGCGGUGGUGCCAGGGUUGUAACAUUGCAGCAAGUGGCGAACUGCUUUAAAUUGAAAUGUUAGGGUUACAAACUAUGGGGGAUUGGGAAGAGAUUGUAGUUCCAUCUACUUGGUUACACCCCAGGAAAAGUGCAUUCAGUAUUUUUUAUAACGCAGAAGUUACACGCCUUGGGAAUUGGGAGGUCCUAAAAUGCUGGUAAUUGGACCCUAAAGCUGGUACCAAAAUUAGUUUGUGGUUAAUGUGCUUCACCAGUUCAGUUCAAUGACAGCAGCUAAUUAAAUUUCAUUUAUGCAGUUAUGAACAUAUGAUUGGUCAGUGUAGUUUGAACAGUUGAUCAUAGACAUGAGAUCUGACCGUAUAGAUGUUGUAAAACGUAAAUAGAAUAUAGAUCACUGAUUAUGCUGCUUUGGAUAUCAAUUUUACCAACUGCUCCGUUAUUGUAUUGUAUUUUCUUAUCAUUUGUGUA
Daucus carota subsp. sativus is the source of this 7672-nucleotide RNA transcript. It is a transcript of the gene named lysine-specific histone demethylase 1 homolog 3, with no coding region annotated. The transcript is spliced from 15 exons. Lineage: Eukaryota; Viridiplantae; Streptophyta; Magnoliopsida; Apiales; Apiaceae. The record is from RefSeq and is a predicted model, not a curated record.